Molecule: non-coding RNA, 213 nt
Organism: Nicotiana tabacum (common tobacco)
Lineage: Eukaryota; Viridiplantae; Streptophyta; Magnoliopsida; Solanales; Solanaceae
Source: RefSeq, a predicted model, not a curated record
UAAUUCUCGAUUAUUCUGAGAGCUAAAUGGAUAUGCGAUUUUGGGCGUGAAGUUCUACUACCGACUUGGCUAUUACAGAGAUGGUUAAUGUGGAUCUUUUAUUCCAUUAUGGAGGUGACUGAAUUAGGAUUUCAGAAGUGGUAUAUUCAAGAACAUUGGUACACAGCUGGAAAUAGUGGUUCCACAUAAGGAGACACUGAUCAGUGAUAGCGG